AACUGUGGUAGCUCAGUUGGUAGAGCAUCAGACUUGUAAUCAAAUGGCUUGGUGUUCAAUACCAACCCAGACA
Molecule: non-coding RNA, 73 nt
Organism: Potamilus streckersoni
Lineage: Eukaryota; Metazoa; Mollusca; Bivalvia; Unionida; Unionidae
Source: the annotation of a GenBank genome assembly